ACAAAUAAUUAAAACAUUCACAACAGCUUAGCCAACAACUUUUUUUGUUUCUUUCUACUUGCAAAACUAACUAACUUCUUCAGUGAAACCUCAGGUGCCCUUUUUUCAUGCACUGGAUCCCAUUCCUCUUUUUGUUUUUAUUUAUUAACAAUGGGAUACUGGAGGAAUGCUCAGGAAGUCUGUAGCUACUGAGAGAAGCAUUACUAGUUAUAUGAAGACACCACAUAGAGCCUAUGAACACACGGGGACUUCUAACCCUCCCACAGUAAUUACAGCUGUAAUGGAGAGAUGUAAUACGAUUCUCUUUCCAUAGAUUUUCAUUGCAAUACAAAGAAGACAACACUAAUUAUAAUUUCAGAUUAAAUGCUAUUCCAAACAACCCAAAUAUUUCUAUUGGCGAAACUACUUUCAAUCACUUGCACAAACAAGUGGUUACCCUUUACCAUGUACCGAGGUUGAUUGUUCAUGGCAGAGAGCAAAGCAUCAACUCCUGGCAUCUCAGGCUUAAUUUCAACAUUCUUCUCAAAGAUGAGGAGUGAAGGAUGAUAUGCAAAAGAGUCCUGUUUCAGUACUAAAUGAGCUUGGCAAGCAAAAGGCAGAUGAAGAUAAAACAUCCUGAAAAUGCACACAUGCUUCACCUCGAACCAAACCAAGAUUGUUGUAACAGUUUAUCACUCCUCUGUCUGAUGCUCAAGGUUGGCACAUGAAGUUACUGAAGCAGCUUCAGCAAGAAUUAUCAGGCACUCAGUGACAACAUCAGCAUAUGAUUUUUUUCCUCCUGUGGUAUUCCUUUCAGCAUUGUUUUCUUUUUAAUGAUCGGUUGGUUGUAAUCACUUCAGCUUUACUUCACUGCCUGCUGCACACAUUUUCUUCUUGCCAUCCUUGCUCUUCUUUUAUUUCUCUUCCUCAUCAGUUCUCCCUUUCAUCACUUCAGAGUAUGCUGUUAGCAAAUGCAACCCACAGAUUUAACAACAGUUUUAUGGCCCAUUGUAAAACUAGUCCACAUUUCAUUCCUUUUUCAUUAUUUGUGCUCUGACCAUGUGUAAAAGGGGAGACAAUCUUAGUGUCUCUCUGAUGCCACAUCCUGGAUGGAACCUCUGAGAACCAUUUUAAUACACAAUGAGGAUAAUUUAAGAUGUUGACUGGAUCUCAGCUAAAUAAAGUAACAGUAUUUUUCCUUUACCGAUCUCAUUGUUUUCUGUCCCAUAACUUCCCUUCACAUGAGGUCGUAAGAAAUGUUACUAUAUUCAGUACCAGUAUUUAAUUUUUGGUGAGACCUCUACCACAUCUGAAUUUACUUGACUUGUUUUUUUGCAGAAGUCAAGUAUUUUAUCAUAAGGAGGCCAUCAGUGGAAUUCUAAAUAUUCUUAUUUUGUUAUAUUAGUUUUCAAAAUCAAUUAUUUAUAAACAUAAAACAUAAAAAGAGGCAGCAGAGGAAGUAAAUUUCUCUUCUAGACUUGCAUUUAUUUUGCAGCACAACCUAUGAAGACUGGAACAAAAAUUACUUGUGCCACCUAUUGAAUGAUUUAUUUUUUUU
Neopelma chrysocephalum (saffron-crested tyrant-manakin) is the source of this 1537-nucleotide long non-coding RNA. RefSeq lists it as uncharacterized. Lineage: Eukaryota; Metazoa; Chordata; Aves; Passeriformes; Pipridae. The record is from RefSeq and is a predicted model, not a curated record. The transcript has 2 exons.